Molecule: ribosomal RNA, 470 nt
Filed under: uncultured bacterium
Lineage: Bacteria
Description: bacterial SSU rRNA
Rfam family: Bacterial small subunit ribosomal RNA
Source: RNAcentral
UGACUCCUACGGGAGGCAGCAGUGGGGAAUAUUGCACAAUGGGGGAAACCCUGAUGCAGCCAUGCCGCGUGUGUGAAGAAGGCCUUCGGGUUGUAAAGCACUUUCAGUAGGGAGGAAGGUAGUGUAGUUAACACCUGCACUAUUUGACGUUACCUACAGAAGAAGCACCGGCUAACUCCGUGCCAGCAGCCGCGGUAAUACGGAGGGUGCGAGCGUUAAUCGGAAUUACUGGGCGUAAAGCGCAUGCAGGCGGCCUGUUAAGUCAGAUGUGAAAGCCCGGGGCUUAACCUCGGAAUUGCAUUUGAAACUGGCAGGCUAGAGUCUUGUAGAGGGGGUAGGAAUUUCAGGUGUAGCGGUGAAAUGCGUAGAGAUCUGAAGGAAUACCAGUGGCGAAGGCGGCCCCCCUCGGACAAAGACUGACGCUCAGAUGCGAAAGCGUGGGGAGCAAACAGGAUUAGAUACCCUGGUAG